AAAUAUGAAUCAUUUAAAAUGAUGAAUUUAAUUUCGACCUAAAGUAAGAAUAUGUAGUAAAUAUUCCAUAUUUA
Molecule: transfer RNA, 74 nt
Filed under: Nyctiophylax orbicularis
Lineage: Eukaryota; Metazoa; Arthropoda; Insecta; Trichoptera; Polycentropodidae
Description: tRNA-Arg
Source: RNAcentral